GAGUAAGGUAAAUCUUUUCCUGAUUCCAUUUUGUGUUUGCUUAGACAUUUGGUGUAUGUGCUUGGCUGAGGAGCCAAUGGGUCGAAGCUACCAUCUGUGGGAUUAUGACUGAACGCCUCUAAGUCAGAAUCCCGCCUCG
This 139-nucleotide non-coding RNA is filed under the name Mus musculus (house mouse). Its description in RNAcentral is "Eukaryotic large subunit ribosomal RNA". It matches the Rfam family "Eukaryotic large subunit ribosomal RNA", at positions 3017 to 3150 of the family's 3401-position model. The record is from Rfam by way of RNAcentral. Lineage: Eukaryota; Metazoa; Chordata; Mammalia; Rodentia; Muridae.